CAGCCUACUGAAUUAGAAACUGAGGAUGGAGCCCAGAGUCUGAACAAGCCUCCCAAGUGAUUCUGAUACUCAAUAAGUUGUGAGAGCACUCUUUUAGAACAGGACCUGGCUUCGUAGAAGAUCCUGACCCGGAGUACCCUGGUUUGGAUGACAAAUGAUAUGGAUACCCCAUGUGACGACUAAGAAAACUUGCACAACGGGACACCGUUGGUGAGAAAAAACGUGGUCAGUGUCAUACAGACCUGGGGGUGUUUCCUGAUCCCACCACCACCUGGAGCAUCGUGCCCUUGAGCAAGUCAUUCAGACUCUGUGUGAAAGAAUGGCCAUCUCUGUACCUCCUCAUCAGCACCGACUCUUGAAAAAUCACCGCUAGGCGACAUGGUCACAACACUGAACAAGAUAGGUAUUUAUUUUAAGGAGCUCAUCCUACUAAAGAUGCAGGCAAGGAAUCAAAUCCUGCAGAGAAAUAUAUAUCCUUUCACUGCUGUUUUAUCACAAGCUGGACAAGAUAGUGAAUUAUGGAAGUCCUGUACAACCAUACUGUGCUGGUUGCUCAGAGAGGAGGCAUCUACACUAAGGAGCAAGAGUGCCAAGCCAAUUCAAUGGGAGAAAGAUUAGUCUUUUCAACAAAUGAUGCUGGGACAAAUGGAUAUCCACAUGCAGAAGAAUGAAAUUGGACCCCUACCACACACCGUAUACAAAAAUGAACUCUAAAUGGAUUAGGGAAAUAAAUCUAACUACUAGAAAUAUAAACUCUUAGAAAAAACACUGGGAAAAGUCUUCAUGGCAGUGGACUUGGUAAUGAUUUCUUGGCCAUGACACUAAAAGGACAUUGAAUUGUACACUUUACAUGGAUGAAUUGAUGAUAUAUGAA
Molecule: long non-coding RNA, 874 nt
Organism: Felis catus (domestic cat)
Lineage: Eukaryota; Metazoa; Chordata; Mammalia; Carnivora; Felidae
Exons: 6
Source: RefSeq, a predicted model, not a curated record